CCACCCAUCCAUUUACUCCAUCCCCUCUCUCUCUCUCUCUCUCUCUGUUGGACGCAAGGAAGACGAGUUUCGCCGCCGCCGCCAUGACGAGCUCCUCCUCCUCCAAGCUCUUCCACUCCGCCUGCAAGGCCGCCAGGUCCUUCCUCGCCCCCGCCCCCGCCCCCGCCCCGCGCGCCGCCUCCUCCAUCCUCGCCGCAGGUAUAUUAUAUAUCUCACCUCACUCCAAUCCACCAGAUCCGAUCCGAUCCGAUCCAAUCAACCGCCAUUCCAUACGAUCCACAUCACAUCAGGCCAGGGAUUCUAACAUCCAUUUCGAUUUCUCUCUUGUUUUUGUUUUUGUUUGUGUGCAGACGGGAGGAACGCCGCGCUCGCCACCCUCGGCAACCUCGCCAGGACCUCCACCCUCCCCGCCGCAUACUCCCACUCCCACCACGCCAAGGCCGCAUCCUCCCACGGCUACGCAUGGAUCGCAGCCAUCCC
RNAcentral lists this long non-coding RNA (480 nucleotides) under Hordeum vulgare. RNAcentral describes it as "long non-coding RNA (HVUL_LNC002480)". Lineage: Eukaryota; Viridiplantae; Streptophyta; Magnoliopsida; Poales; Poaceae. The record is from RNAcentral.